UAGGGAAUCUUCCACAAUGGACGCGAGUCUGAUGGAGCAACGCCGCGUGAGUGAAGAAGGGUUUCGGCUCGUAAAGCUCUGUUGUUAAGAAGAACGUGGGUAAGAGUAACUGUUUACCCAGUGACGGUAUUUAACCAGAAAGCCACGGCUAACUACGUGCCAG
Molecule: ribosomal RNA, 163 nt
Filed under: uncultured bacterium
Lineage: Bacteria
Description: partial 16S rRNA
Rfam family: Bacterial small subunit ribosomal RNA
Source: RNAcentral